AGCUAGGAAUCUUCCGCAAUGGGCGAAAGCCUGACGGAGCGACGCCGCGUGAAGGAUGAAGGCUCUACGGAGUUGUAAACUUCUUUUCUGUGAGAAGAGUAAGGACGGUAUCACAGGAAUAAGCCCCGGCUAACUACGUGCCAGCAGCCGUGGUAAUACGUAGGGGGCGAGUGUUGUUCGGAAUCACUGGGCAUAAAGGGUGCGUAGGCGGACUGUCAAGCAAGGGGUGAAAGGCUCUGGCCCAACCAGGGAAUUGCCUUUUGAACUGGCAGUCUGGAGUGCAGGAGGGGAGAGCAGAAUUCCCGGUGUAGGGGUGAAAUCUAUAGAUAUCGGGAAGAAUACCGGUCGCGAAGGCGGCUCUCUGGCCUGCUACUGACGCUGAGGCACGAAAGCGUGGGGAGCAAACAGGAUUAGAUACCCUGGUAGUCCACGCUGUAACGAUGUGUGCUAGGUGUUGGUCCUGAAUGGGAUCAGUGCCGCAGCUAACGCGAUAAGCACACCA
RNAcentral lists this ribosomal RNA (502 nucleotides) under uncultured bacterium. RNAcentral's name for it is "bacterial SSU rRNA". It matches the Rfam family "Bacterial small subunit ribosomal RNA", at positions 353 to 871 of the family's 1533-position model. The record is from RNAcentral.